This 91-nucleotide long non-coding RNA is filed under the name Ornithorhynchus anatinus (platypus). Its description in RNAcentral is "lncRNA (ENSOANG00000038637.1)". The record is from RNAcentral. Lineage: Eukaryota; Metazoa; Chordata; Mammalia; Monotremata; Ornithorhynchidae.
CUCGAGCCUCCUGAGGAGAGGGGAGGAGGCGGCGGAAGAGGGAGGGACGGGCGCUGUGAAGAUGAGUGGCAUUCUACAUGUACAUCCUGGU